RNAcentral lists this ribosomal RNA (305 nucleotides) under uncultured bacterium. Its description in RNAcentral is "bacterial SSU rRNA". It matches the Rfam family "Bacterial small subunit ribosomal RNA", at positions 337 to 639 of the family's 1533-position model. The record is from RNAcentral.
UCCUACGGGGGGCAGCAGUGAGGAAUAUUGGUCAAUGGGCUUACGCCUGAACCAGCCAAGUCGCGUGAGGGAUGACGGCCCUACGGGUUGUAAACCUCUUUUGUCGGGGAGCAAGACCCGCCUCGUGCAGGCGGAGCAAGAGUACCCGAAGAAAAAGCAUCGGCUAACUCCGCGCCAGCAACCGCGGUAAUACGGAGGAUGCGAGCGUUAUCCGGAUUUAUUGGGUUUAAAGGGUGCGCAGGCGGACCAUCAAGUCAGCGGUAAAAUCGUGGGGCCCAACCCCAUCCCGCCGUUGAAACUGGCGG